RNAcentral lists this ribosomal RNA (1234 nucleotides) under Thermoplasma sp. S02. RNAcentral's name for it is "bacterial SSU rRNA". It matches the Rfam family "Archaeal small subunit ribosomal RNA", at positions 137 to 1376 of the family's 1478-position model. The record is from RNAcentral. Lineage: Archaea; Methanobacteriati; Thermoplasmatota; Thermoplasmata; Thermoplasmatales; Thermoplasmataceae.
GAACUGAGGCUAAUUCCCCAUAGCCACUCUAUGCUGGAAUGCUUGGGUGGUGAAAGCUCCGGCGCCUGAGGAUGAGUCUGCGGCCUAUCAGGUAGUAUGUGGUGUAACGGACCACAUAGCCUAGGACGGGUACGGGCCCUGAGAGGGGGAGCCCGGAGAUGGACUCUGAGACACUAGUCCAGGCCCUACGGGGCGCAGCAGGCGCGAAACCUGUGCAAUGCGCGCAAGCGCGACACGGGGAACCUGAGUGCUCUGGCUCAGCCAGAGCUUUUCUCGAGCCUAAAAAGCUCGAGGAAUAAGAGCUGGGUAAGACGGGUGCCAGCCGCCGCGGUAACACCCGCAGCUCGAGUGGUGGUCACUUUUAUUGAGCCUAAAGCGUCCGUAGCCGGUUGCGUAAAUCUCCAGGUAAAUUCUUCCGCUCAACGGAAGAUUUUCUGGAGAGACUGCGCGACUUGGGACCGGGUGAGGUUGAACGUACUUCUGGGGUAGGGGUAAAAUCCUGUAAUCCUGGAAGGACGACCGGUGGCGAAAGCGUUCAACUAGAACGGAUCCGACGGUGAGGGACGAAGGCUAGGGGAGCAAACCGGAUUAGAUACCCGGGUAGUCCUAGCUGUAAACACUGCCCACUUGGUGUUGCCUCUCCGAUGAGGGGGGGCAGUGCCGGAGCGAAGGUGUUAAGUGGGCCGCUUGGGGAGUAUGGUCGCAAGGCUGAAACUUAAAGGAAUUGGCGGGGGAGCACCGCAACGGGAGGAGCGUGCGGUUUAAUUGGAUUCAACGCCGGAAAACUCACCGGGAGCGACCUUCGGAUGAGGACCAGCCUGAUGAGCUUGUCCGAUAGAAGGAGAGGUGGUGCAUGGCCGUCGUCAGCUCGUACCGUAGGGCGUUCACUUAAGUGUGAUAACGAGCGAGACCCCUAUCCCUAAUUGCCAUCCUUCACGUGAGUGGAGGGGCACUUUAGGGGGACCGCCAGCGCUAAGCUGGAGGAAGGAAGGGUNGACGGCAGGUCAGUACGCCCCGAAUCUCCCGGGCAACACGCGCGCUACAAAGGGCAGGACAAUGGGAUGCGACCUCGAAAGGGGAAGCUAACCCCGAAACCUGCUCGUAGUCAGGAUUGAGGGCUGUAACUCGCCCUCAUGAAUGUGGAUUCCGUAGUAAUCGCGGGUCAACAUCCCGCGGUGAAUAUGCCCCUGCUCCUUGCACACACCGCCCGUCAAACCAUCCGAGCUGGUGACUG